GGGCUAAGCUCGUAGUUGACUUGUGCGUACCCCUGAUGUCCUUUUUGGUACGUUUGGGGGUGUGCAUCCUUGGGUGGAACCUGUGUGGCAUUAGGUUGUCGUGCAGGGGAUGCUCAUCGUUUACUGUGAAAAAAUUAGAGUGUUCAAAGCAGGCUUAUGCCGUUGAAUAUAUUAGCAUGGAAUAAUAAGAUAGGACCUUGGUACUAUUUUGUUGGUUUGCGCACCGAGGUAAUGAUUAACAGGGACAGUUGGGGGUAUUCGUAUUCCAUUGUCAGAGGUGAAAUUCUUGGAUUUUUGGAAGACGAACUACUGCGAAAGCAUUUACCAAGGAUGUUUUCAUUAAUCAAGAACGAAAGUUAGGGGAUCGAAGAUGAUUAGAUACAUUUCGUAGUCAUCGUAGUCAAGUGAAAUUCUUAGACCGCUCAAAGACGAACUACAGCGAAGGCAUUCUCCAAGGAUACCUUCCCUCAAAUCAAGAACCAAAGUGUGGAAGAUCGAAAGAUGAUUAGAUACCCAUCGUAGUCAGG
RNAcentral lists this ribosomal RNA (527 nucleotides) under Entomoneis paludosa. RNAcentral describes it as "partial small subunit ribosomal RNA". The stretch from base 2 to 462 matches the Rfam family "Eukaryotic small subunit ribosomal RNA", at positions 617 to 1115 of the family's 1831-position model. Lineage: Eukaryota; Bacillariophyta; Bacillariophyceae; Surirellales; Surirellaceae. The record is from RNAcentral.